RNAcentral lists this long non-coding RNA (1116 nucleotides) under Anolis carolinensis (green anole). RNAcentral describes it as "lncRNA (ENSACAG00000038960.1)". Lineage: Eukaryota; Metazoa; Chordata; Lepidosauria; Squamata; Anolidae. The record is from RNAcentral.
UAUCCUUCUCACUAUUAAAAUGUAUCUUCUUUUUUUUUCUCACUCUCCCUCACUCCAUAUUCCUAUUUCAUUUCUGCACCCCCGCUGAGUCUCCUCUAUUAAAUGUGUGCUUUCUAACUUGGUCCAGAAUAAACACUAUUCCUUUGUCUUCCCUCUAUCCCUCAGCAUCACAUAUACAGUAGAGUCUCUCUUAUCCAACAUAAACGGGCCGGCAGAACAUUGGAUAAGCGAAUAUGUUGGAUAAUAAGGAGAGAUUAAGGAAAAGUCUAUUAAACAUUACAUUAGGUUAUGAUUUUACAAAUUAAGCACCAAAACAUCAUGUUGUACAACAAAUUUGACAGAAAAAGUAGUUCAAUACACAGUAAUGCUAUGUAGUAAUUACUGUAUUUACGAAUUUAGCACCAAAAUAUCAUGAUGUAUUGAAAAUAUUGACUACAAAAAUGUGUUGGAUAAUCCAGAACAUUGGAUAAGUGAGUGUUGGAUAAGUGAGACUCUACUGUAGUUAUUUCUGGAAUUCUACUAUUAAAUAUACUUUAAUGUUGACACAAGGGAUAUUGGCCUCUGCCUUAUCUAGGUCAAGAGGCAACAACCCAACUAUAAUGGACUUGUAUACCAAGUAAUAAACUUCCUGCUCACUAUCAGGGAAUUGGUCCCCAGCUGGAUCCCCACUGUGCCAACCCACUGUGCCAACCUACUUGUGGGUUCUCUAAAGAUGUCCUGGAUCUCUCGCACCUUAGUCCAGUCCAUUACCUCAUCCUCUGAACUUGUCAUCCCAUCCUCCUGAUUCUCAACCCCAUCAUCCCCCUCAAAGCCCUCAAAUGAGUCAUCAUCAAUAGGUUCCAUAAGUAUUUCCCGGAUCCACUUCCUUUGUGGCUCCUCAUCGGAGUCUUUCUGAUGAGUGGUCUUUCUUAAAUAUUUAAUAAAUUAAUUUGCCACAAACCAGGAAAACUUUGGUUUGUGGCAAAUUAAUUUGAUAGUGGGUUUAUUCCACUCCUUUUUAGAAGGCGCAGGAUAAACCCUUCACUUCUGCUGUCCAGUCAGCAGUCCUGUGAUUUUCCAGGCUAAAUUAGCCCAGAAAACUGCAAGAACAACAACCUCUUCCCCAAAAGCCCCCCA